This 289-nucleotide ribosomal RNA is filed under the name uncultured Tissierella sp. RNAcentral describes it as "partial 16S ribosomal RNA". The stretch from base 50 to 289 matches the Rfam family "Bacterial small subunit ribosomal RNA", at positions 100 to 339 of the family's 1533-position model. Lineage: Bacteria; Bacillati; Bacillota; Tissierellia; Tissierellales; Tissierellaceae. The record is from RNAcentral.
AAUUUUAUAAUAGAUUCCUUCGGGAUGAAAUUAUGACUUUUCUAGCGGCGGAUGGGUGAGUAACGCGUGAGAAACCUGCCUUUUACAAGGGGAUAGCCUCGAGAAAUCGGGAUUAAUACCCUAUGAUACUUUUUAGUCGCAUGACUGAAUAGUUAAAGCGUAAAGCGGUAAAAGAUGGUCUCGCGUCCCAUUAGUUAGUUGGUGAGAUAAAAGCUCACCAAGACUACGAUGGGUAGCCGGCCUGAGAGGGUGACCGGCCACACUGGAACUGAGACACGGUCCAGACUCC